RNAcentral lists this RNase P RNA (364 nucleotides) under Candidatus Woesearchaeota archaeon. RNAcentral describes it as "RNase P RNA component". It matches the Rfam family "Archaeal RNase P". From Rfam's summary of the family: Ribonuclease P (RNase P) is a ubiquitous endoribonuclease, found in archaea, bacteria and eukarya as well as chloroplasts and mitochondria. Its best characterised activity is the generation of mature 5'-ends of tRNAs by cleaving the 5'-leader elements of precursor-tRNAs. Cellular RNase Ps are ribonucleoproteins. Lineage: Archaea; Nanobdellati; Candidatus Woesearchaeota. The record is from RNAcentral.
GGUAGCAGUGGCAGGAAGCAAAGGGACCCGCAAGGGAACCCAGGAAAGUCCGCCCACCUCAAAGCGCCACUUCCUAACGGAAGAAGGGGAAAUCCCUUGGCUCUGGCUUCAGCAACGACACGUCCUGCAAGAUGGGAUGAUAUGGCGAAGUCUCUUGUGAAAGAGAGGAGUUAAUCUGUUGACGUCCUUGCAGGGAACGAUGAAACGGCGAAACCUUCCAAAGUCACACUUUGGGUGUCUAAAUCAUGAGACAUGGCUGGUGCAAGUUCGUAUGAACGCUCAGUAGAAUGCUUCCAAUGGCCAUCGACAGGAGUCUUGUACUUUUGUUUUGGGCCUCACCAAAGGCGGCUUAUGCCACUCUACC